AUACGUAGGGGGCGAGCGCUGUCCGGAAUAAUGGGGCGAGAAAGACGCGUAAGCGUCCCGGUAGGUCUGGAGAGAAGGUCCUGUUUUGAAGAUGGGGAUUGCUUUGGAUACUGUCGGGCUUGUGGGCAGGAGAGGUAAGUGGAAUUCCCAGUGUAGCGGUGAAAUGCGUAGAGAUUGGGAGGAACACCAGUGGCGAAGGCGACUUACUGGACUGUAACUGACGCUGAGGCGCGAAAGUGUGGGGAGCAAACAGGAUUAGAUACCCUGGUAGUCCACACUGUAAACGAUGAAUGCUAGGUGUAGGGGGUAUCGACCCCUUCUGUGCCGCAGUCAACACAAUAAGCAUUCCGCCUGGGGAGUACGGCCGCAAGGUUGAAACUCAAAGGAAUUGACGGGG
RNAcentral lists this ribosomal RNA (397 nucleotides) under uncultured bacterium. RNAcentral's name for it is "partial 16S ribosomal RNA". It matches the Rfam family "Bacterial small subunit ribosomal RNA", at positions 523 to 918 of the family's 1533-position model. The record is from RNAcentral.